UGGCGGCGUGCUUAACACAUGCAAGUCGAACGGUGAAGCCCAGCUUGCUGGGUGGAUCAGUGGCGAACGGGUGAGUAACACGUGAGCAACCUGCCCUCCACUUUGGGAUAAGCCUUGGAAACGGGGUCUAAUACCGGAUAUGAGCAUGCGACGCAUGUCGUGUGUUGGAAAGUUUUUCGGUGGGGGAUGGGCUCGCGGCCUAUCAGCUUGUUGGUGGGGUAAUGGCCUACCAAGGCGUCGACGGGUAGCCGGCCUGAGAGGGCGACCGGCCACACUGGGACUGAGACACGGCCCAGACUCCUACGGGAGGCAGCAGUGGGGAAUAUUGCACAAUGGGCGAAAGCCUGAUGCAGCGACGCCGCGUGAGGGAUGACGGCCUUCGGGUUGUAAACCUCUUUCAGCAGGGAAGAAGGCUUCGGUUGACGGUACCUGCAGAAGAAGCGCCGGCUAACUACGUGCCAGCAGCCGCGGUAAUACGUAGGGCGCAAGCGUUGUCCGGAAUUAUUGGGCGUAAAGAGCUCGUAGGCGGUCUGUCGCGUCUGGUGUGAAAACCCGAGGCUCAACCUCGGGCUUGCAUCGGGUACGGGCAGACUAGAGUGCGGUAGGGGAGACUGGAAUUCCUGGUGUAGCGGUGGAAUGCGCAGAUAUCAGGAGGAACACCGAUGGCGAAGGCAGGUCUCUGGGCCGCAACUGACGCUGAGGAGCGAAAGCAUGGGGAGCGAACAGGAUUAGAUACCCUGGUAGUCCAUGCCGUAAACGUUGGGCACUAGGUGUGGGGCUCAUUCCACGAGUUCCGUGCCGCAGCUAACGCAUUAAGUGCCCCGCCUGGGGAGUACGGCCGCAAGGCUAAAACUCAAAGGAAUUGACGGGGGCCCGCACAAGCGGCGGAGCAUGCGGAUU
Molecule: ribosomal RNA, 900 nt
Filed under: Isoptericola sp.
Lineage: Bacteria; Bacillati; Actinomycetota; Actinomycetes; Micrococcales; Promicromonosporaceae
Description: bacterial SSU rRNA
Rfam family: Bacterial small subunit ribosomal RNA
Source: RNAcentral